RNAcentral lists this ribosomal RNA (2900 nucleotides) under Escherichia coli DEC2A. RNAcentral's name for it is "bacterial LSU rRNA". It matches the Rfam family "Bacterial large subunit ribosomal RNA". Lineage: Bacteria; Pseudomonadati; Pseudomonadota; Gammaproteobacteria; Enterobacterales; Enterobacteriaceae. The record is from RNAcentral.
UAAGCGACUAAGCGUACACGGUGGAUGCCCUGGCAGUCAGAGGCGAUGAAGGACGUGCUAAUCUGCGAUAAGCGUCGGUGAGGUGAUAUGAACCGUUAUAACCGGCGAUUUCCGAAUGGGGAAACCCAGUGUGAUUCGUCACACUAUCAUUAACUGAAUCCAUAGGUUAAUGAGGCGAACCGGGGGAACUGAAACAUCUAAGUACCCCGAGGAAAAGAAAUCAACCGAGAUUCCCCCAGUAGCGGCGAGCGAACGGGGAGGAGCCCAGAGCCUGAAUCAGUGUGUGUGUUAGUGGAAGCGUCUGGAAAGGCGCGCGAUACAGGGUGACAGCCCCGUACACAAAAAUGCACAUAUUGUGAGCUCGAUGAGUAGGGCGGGACACGUGGUAUCCUGUCUGAAUAUGGGGGGACCAUCCUCCAAGGCUAAAUACUCCUGACUGACCGAUAGUGAACCAGUACCGUGAGGGAAAGGCGAAAAGAACCCCGGCGAGGGGAGUGAAAAAGAACCUGAAACCGUGUACGUACAAGCAGUGGGAGCCUCUUAAUGGGGUGACUGCGUACCUUUUGUAUAAUGGGUCAGCGACUUAUAUUCUGUAGCAAGGUUAACCGAAUAGGGGAGCCGAAGGGAAACCGAGUCUUAACUGGGCGUUAAGUUGCAGGGUAUAGACCCGAAACCCGGUGAUCUAGCCAUGGGCAGGUUGAAGGUUGGGUAACACUAACUGGAGGACCGAACCGACUAAUGUUGAAAAAUUAGCGGAUGACUUGUGGCUGGGGGUGAAAGGCCAAUCAAACCGGGAGAUAGCUGGUUCUCCCCGAAAGCUAUUUAGGUAGCGCCUCGUGAAUUCAUCUCCGGGGGUAGAGCACUGUUUCGGCAAGGGGGUCAUCCCGACUUACCAACCCGAUGCAAACUGCGAAUACCGGAGAAUGUUAUCACGGGAGACACACGGCGGGUGCUAACGUCCGUCGUGAAGAGGGAAACAACCCAGACCGCCAGCUAAGGUCCCAAAGUCAUGGUUAAGUGGGAAACGAUGUGGGAAGGCCCAGACAGCCAGGAUGUUGGCUUAGAAGCAGCCAUCAUUUAAAGAAAGCGUAAUAGCUCACUGGUCGAGUCGGCCUGCGCGGAAGAUGUAACGGGGCUAAACCAUGCACCGAAGCUGCGGCAGCGACACUAUGUGUUGUUGGGUAGGGGAGCGUUCUGUAAGCCUGUGAAGGUGGCCUGUGAGGGUUGCUGGAGGUAUCAGAAGUGCGAAUGCUGACAUAAGUAACGAUAAAGCGGGUGAAAAGCCCGCUCGCCGGAAGACCAAGGGUUCCUGUCCAACGUUAAUCGGGGCAGGGUGAGUCGACCCCUAAGGCGAGGCCGAAAGGCGUAGUCGAUGGGAAACAGGUUAAUAUUCCUGUACUUGGUGUUACUGCGAAGGGGGGACGGAGAAGGCUAUGUUGGCCGGGCGACGGUUGUCCCGGUUUAAGCGUGUAGGCUGGUUUUCCAGGCAAAUCCGGAAAACCAAGGCUGAGGCGUGAUGACGAGGCACUACGGUGCUGAAGUGACAAAUGCCCUGCUUCCAGGAAAAGCCUCUAAGCAUCAGGUAACAUCAAAUCGUACCCCAAACCGACACAGGUGGUCAGGUAGAGAAUACCAAGGCGCUUGAGAGAACUCGGGUGAAGGAACUAGGCAAAAUGGUGCCGUAACUUCGGGAGAAGGCACGCUGAUAUGUAGGUGAAGCGACUUGCUCGUGGAGCUGAAAUCAGUCGAAGAUACCAGCUGGCUGCAACUGUUUAUUAAAAACACAGCACUGUGCAAACACGAAAGUGGACGUAUACGGUGUGACGCCUGCCCGGUGCCGGAAGGUUAAUUGAUGGGGUUAGCGGCAACGCGAAGCUCUUGAUCGAAGCCCCGGUAAACGGCGGCCGUAACUAUAACGGUCCUAAGGUAGCGAAAUUCCUUGUCGGGUAAGUUCCGACCUGCACGAAUGGCGUAAUGAUGGCCAGGCUGUCUCCACCCGAGACUCAGUGAAAUUGAACUCGCUGUGAAGAUGCAGUGUACCCGCGGCAAGACGGAAAGACCCCGUGAACCUUUACUAUAGCUUGACACUGAACAUUGAGCCUUGAUGUGUAGGAUAGGUGGGAGGCUUUGAAGUGUGGACGCCAGUCUGCAUGGAGCCGACCUUGAAAUACCACCCUUUAAUGUUUGAUGUUCUAACGUUGGCCCGUAAUCCGGGUUGCGGACAGUGUCUGGUGGGUAGUUUGACUGGGGCGGUCUCCUCCUAAAGAGUAACGGAGGAGCACGAAGGUUGGCUAAUCCUGGUCGGACAUCAGGAGGUUAGUGCAAUGGCAUAAGCCAGCUUGACUGCGAGCGUGACGGCGCGAGCAGGUGCGAAAGCAGGUCAUAGUGAUCCGGUGGUUCUGAAUGGAAGGGCCAUCGCUCAACGGAUAAAAGGUACUCCGGGGAUAACAGGCUGAUACCGCCCAAGAGUUCAUAUCGACGGCGGUGUUUGGCACCUCGAUGUCGGCUCAUCACAUCCUGGGGCUGAAGUAGGUCCCAAGGGUAUGGCUGUUCGCCAUUUAAAGUGGUACGCGAGCUGGGUUUAGAACGUCGUGAGACAGUUCGGUCCCUAUCUGCCGUGGGCGCUGGAGAACUGAGGGGGGCUGCUCCUAGUACGAGAGGACCGGAGUGGACGCAUCACUGGUGUUCGGGUUGUCAUGCCAAUGGCACUGCCCGGUAGCUAAAUGCGGAAGAGAUAAGUGCUGAAAGCAUCUAAGCACGAAACUUGCCCCGAGAUGAGUUCUCCCUGACCCUUUAAGGGUCCUGAAGGAACGUUGAAGACGACGACGUUGAUAGGCCGGGUGUGUAAGCGCAGCGAUGCGUUGAGCUAACCGGUACUAAUGAACCGUGAGGCUUAACCU